GAUGAACGCUGGCGGCGUGCCUAAUACAUGCAAGUAGAACGCUGAAGGAAGGAGCUUGCUCUUUCCGGAUGAGUUGCGAACGGGUGAGUAACGCGUAGGUAACCUGCCUGGUAGCGGGGGAUAACUAUUGGAAACGAUAGCUAAUACCGCAUAACAGUAGAUGUUGCAUGACAACUAUUUGAAAGGGGCAAUUGCUCCACUACCAGAUGGACCUGCGUUGUAUUAGCUAGUUGGUGAGGUAACGGCUCACCAAGGCGACGAUACAUAGCCGACCUGAGAGGGUGAUCGGCCACACUGGGACUGGGACACGGCCCAGACUCCUAAGGGAGGGAGCAGGAGGGGAUCUUCGGCAAUGGACGGAAGUCUGACCGUGCAACGCCGCGUGAGGGAAGAAGGUUUUCGGGUCGUAAAGCUCUGUUGUGAGGGAAGAACGAGUGUGAGAGUGGAAAGUUCACACUGUGACGGUACCUUACCAGAAAGGGACGGCUAACUACGUG
Molecule: ribosomal RNA, 497 nt
Filed under: uncultured bacterium
Lineage: Bacteria
Description: partial 16S ribosomal RNA
Rfam family: Bacterial small subunit ribosomal RNA
Source: RNAcentral